RNAcentral lists this ribosomal RNA (496 nucleotides) under uncultured bacterium. Its description in RNAcentral is "partial 16S ribosomal RNA". It matches the Rfam family "Bacterial small subunit ribosomal RNA", at positions 29 to 507 of the family's 1533-position model. The record is from RNAcentral.
AUGAACGCUGGCGGCGUGCCUAAUACAUGCAAGUCGAGCGAACAGACGAGGAGCUUGCUCCUCUGACGUUAGCGGCGGACGGGUGAGUAACACGUGGAUAACCUACCUAUAAGACUGGGAUAACUUCGGGAAACCGGAGCUAGUACCGGAUAAUAUAUUGAACCGCAUGGUUCAAUAGUGAAAGACGGUUUUGCUGUCACUUAUAGAUGGAUCCGCGCCGCAUUAGCUAGUUGGUAAGGUAACGGCUUACCAAGGCAACGAUGCGUAGCCGACCUGAGAGGGUGAUCGGCCACACUGGAACUGAGACACGGUCCAGACUCCUACGGGAGGCAGCAGUAGGGAAUCUUCCGCAAUGGGCGAAAGCUUGACGGAGCAACGCCGCGUGAGUGAUGAAGGUCUUCGGAUCGUAAAACUCUGUUAUUAGGGAAGAACAAAUGUGUAAGUAACUAUGCACGUCUUGACGGUACCUAAUCAGAAAGCCACGGCUAACUACGUG